RNAcentral lists this small RNA (68 nucleotides) under Bacillus sp. V59.32b. RNAcentral describes it as "Bacillaceae-1 RNA". It matches the Rfam family "Bacillaceae-1 RNA". Lineage: Bacteria; Bacillati; Bacillota; Bacilli; Caryophanales; Bacillaceae. RNAcentral also lists the same sequence under 1 other name. The record is from Rfam by way of RNAcentral.
AAGUGUGGAACAUCGACUAAAAUCUGCCACAUCAUGUGGCAAACGUCGAUGCCAGCCCAUCCUGGGCA